CGAAGGGGCUAGCGUUGCUCGGAAUCACUGGGCGUAAAGCGCACGUAGGCGGAUUGCUAAGUCAGGGGUGAAAUCCUGGAGCUCAACUCCAGAACUGCCUUUGAUACUGGCGACCUUGAGUCCGGGAGAGGUGAGUGGAACUGCGAGUGUAGAGGUGAAAUUCGUAGAUAUUCGCAAGAACACCAGUGGCGAAGGCGGCUCACUGGCCCGGUACUGACGCUGAGGUGCGAAAGCGUGGGAGCAAACAGGAUU
This 252-nucleotide ribosomal RNA is filed under the name uncultured bacterium. RNAcentral's name for it is "partial 16S ribosomal RNA". It matches the Rfam family "Bacterial small subunit ribosomal RNA", at positions 527 to 779 of the family's 1533-position model. The record is from RNAcentral.